GGACACGUGGUAUCCUGUCUGAAUAUGGGGGGACCAUCCUCCAAGGCUAAAUACUCCUGACUGACCGAUAGUGAACCAGUACCGUGAGGGAAAGGCGAAAAGAACCCCGGCGAGGGGAGUGAAAAAGAACCUGAAACCGUGUACGUACAAGCAGUGGGAGCACCCUUUGGGGUGUGACUGCGUACCUUUUGUAUAAUGGGUCAGCGACUUAUAUUCUGUAGCAAGGUUAACCGAAUAGGGGAGCCGGAGGGAAACCGAGUCUUAAUUGGGCGUUAAGUUGCAGGGUAUAGACCCGAAACCCGGUGAUCUAGCCAUGGGCAGGUUGAAGGUUGGGUAACACUAACUGGAGGACCGAACCGACUAAUGUUGAAAAAUUAGCGGAUGACCUGUGGCUGGGGGUGAAAGGCCAAUCAAACCGGGAGAUAGCUGGUUCUCCCCGAAAGCUAUUUAGGUAGCGCCUCGUGAAUUCAUCUCCGGGGGUAGAGCACUGUUUCGGCUAGGGGGCCAUCCCGGCUUACCAACCCGAUGCAAACUGCGAAUACCGGAGAAUGUUAUCACGGGAGACACACGGCGGGUGCUAACGUCCGUCGUGAAGAGGGAAACAACCCAGACCGCCAGCUAAGGUCCCAAAGUCAUGGUUAAGUGGGAAACGAUGUGGGAAGGCCCAGACAGCCAGGAUGUUGGCUUAGAAGCAGCCAUCAUUUAAAGAAAGCGUAAUAGCUCACUGGUCGAGUCGGCCUGCGCGGAAGAUGUAACGGGGCUAAACCAUGCACCGAAGCUGCGGCAGCGACGCUGAUGCGUUGUUGGGUAGGGGAGCGUUCUGUAAGCCUGCGAAGGUGGCCUGUGAGGGUUGCUGGAGGUAUCAGAAGUGCGAAUGCUGACAUAAGUAACGAUAAAGCGGGUGAAAAGCCCGCUCGCCGGAAGACCAAGGGUUCCUGUCCAACGUUAAUCGGGGCAGGGUGAGUCGACCCCUAAGGCGAGGCCGAAAGGCGUAGUCGAUGGGAAACGGGUUAAUAUUCCCGUACUUGGUGUUACUGCGAAGGGGGGACGGAGAAGGCUAUGUUGGCCGGGCGACGGUU
This 1079-nucleotide ribosomal RNA is filed under the name Salmonella enterica. RNAcentral describes it as "partial 23S ribosomal RNA". It matches the Rfam family "Bacterial large subunit ribosomal RNA", at positions 420 to 1503 of the family's 2925-position model. The record is from RNAcentral. Lineage: Bacteria; Pseudomonadati; Pseudomonadota; Gammaproteobacteria; Enterobacterales; Enterobacteriaceae.